This is a long non-coding RNA of Sinocyclocheilus grahami, 1225 nucleotides long. RefSeq lists it as uncharacterized. Lineage: Eukaryota; Metazoa; Chordata; Actinopteri; Cypriniformes; Cyprinidae. The record is from RefSeq and is a predicted model, not a curated record. The transcript is spliced from 4 exons.
UCCCAUUACAGCCUCUAAUGCUCUGUUUCGAUUUUUUGGCUUAGAUCUUUCACUUCUUCACAUCUACAAUCAGUGUAAUCCCACCCGCCCUAAAAUGACCUGCUCAUGAUUUCCAAAACUCUACCGUCACGUGCAUUUCGGCAAAAACAAGAGAAGUUUAGCGUAUAGGUGCUCCGGCUGUGAACGAUGAAGUAACUUGUGAUGUUGCAGAAAUGCGUGAAUGUUAAUGCGAUGGUUCAUACUGAUGUCACAUGGUGAAUUGGAUGUGCAUCGGAGUCAGGAUCCCCAAGUGGCCCGAAUCUGGACAAACACCGCUCUGUGCCCAUAAAACUACAAGGAGGACAAGCAAAAGAAGCACUUCUGCCAAGGUGCUCAUGUGAAAUGAAUGUUUAUCAGCAAGACUGUUUAAGCGAUGGUGACCAGUGAUUUCUACAGGAGAUGCACUGUUGGAUGCGAGCUUGGCCUGAUGCCCGGACGCCCUUUACCACCCUGUAUGUGUGAUCGCAUUAGGAAACCGAAAACAAGACACUGAAAGCCCAUCAUGCAGUGCUCGCAGCAGCCAUCUAAGCUUGAUAAAGAAAUGCCGCCUGCUCGGGGUACCUGGUAAUGGGCAGUAAAGGCUGACAGGUCAGACAUCAUGUGAUGGCCUAUUAUUAAAUGUUUGCGUCAUGAAGAACUGUGAAUUACUCUGUUGCAGUGGGUGGCUUUUUUAUGCUUUAGGUCCAUUGUAGCCCUUAAAGUCUGGACUGUUAAAAGAGCAUUUUGUCUUGAUAAGAGUGGGUUUUUUGUUCAAUUUAAUUUCGGUUCAAAGAAAAAAAAAAACACUGUGCUUUUGCCCUAUUUGUAGCUUGACGUAUACUGGCUAUUAUGAACUGUCAUUGCACGGAAAAGAACAGUGCAGAGAUCCUAAUGCCAUUUACACCAAGGACGAUAACUAUAAAGAUAAUGUUUUGAAGAAACUGUAUGUAGUUUUGUAUAGGCUAUUUUUCCAACUUUUAUUGCAGUUUAGUGAGUGGAAUUCACUGUCGUUAAUAUAUAACUGUCAUAAUUAUAGUGCGUAGCUGUACACAAGCAUUUGUUGCUGCUGUGAAGUGAUGGAAGCUUUUCGAAGUUCUGAAUCAAUUGAGUCAAUUGUUUCGUAAAACGUUUCGAAGCAUUCAAAACACCACAGGUCAAGAACAAACAAGGUCAAGAAGCAAUUAUUAUUGUUAUUUUUGUAUUAUAU